This 489-nucleotide ribosomal RNA is filed under the name uncultured bacterium. RNAcentral describes it as "bacterial SSU rRNA". It matches the Rfam family "Bacterial small subunit ribosomal RNA", at positions 32 to 518 of the family's 1533-position model. The record is from RNAcentral.
GGACAACGCUGGCGGCGUGCCUAACACAUGCAAGUCGAGCGGAGACAGACGGAAAGCUUGCUUUUUGUCUGUUUCAGCGGCGGACGGGUGAGUAACGCGUGAGCAACCUGCCUUUAACAGGGGAAUAACGCAUCGAAAGAUGUGCUAAUACCGCAUAAGACCACAGCAUCACAUGGUGCAGGGGUCAAAAGGAGCAAUCCGGUUAAAAGAUGGGCUCGCGUCCGAUUAGCUGGUUGGUGAGACAACAGCCCACCAAGGCGACGAUCGGUAGCCGACCUGAGAGGGUGAUCGGCCACAUUGGAACUGAGAUACGGUCCAGACUCCUACGGGAGGCAGCAGUGGGGAAUAUUGGGCAAUGGGCGAAAGCCCUGACCCAGCAACGCCGCGUGAGGGAAGAAGGGUUUCGGCUCGUAAACCUCUGUCCUAUGGGACGAAGGAAGUGACGGUACCAUAGGAGGAAGCCCCGGCUAACUACGUGCCAGCCGCAGC